GAAUUGCUCAUUGAGCNCCACUUUAGAAUGUUUGACACAAUAAAAAGAAAUGGUUCAUAAUUAAAACUUCACAAACAAAAGAAAUGUCUUUAUUAUCACCAUUGGAGGUAAUAGUCGUAUAAUUCUUUAUGCAAGCUUAGGAAGACCAAUUUGCACAAGGAGUUUAUCAGCUCCAUAAUUUUGACUAUAACGGGAAGCCAACAGAUCAAGUAUAUAUGUACAGAUCAAGUAUAUAUGUAUGAGCAUGCGCAGGUAGGCAAGCAGUGCUCUUCUGAAGCACAAGCACCACCAACACAGGUUAAUUGAAUUGAAGUCAAAAAUUCGUUCCCCAAAAUAUUCAAAUGAAAACCUCUGGUUGAACCAUGAUUUUAAAUAUUGGAAGAUAAACAAAAGAACAAUGAAUCAAAAUUUCACAACAAUCAACAAGCACUGAUAAGUACAUAGCAGUCACACACCAACCCAAAAAAAAACCCGAUUAGAUGAACAAUAAAUCUACAUGUACUCAAAAUGGAAAAAAUCAAAAUCAAACCAACUCAGAUAGCACAAAAGAAAACAGAUCACGAUGCAAGCAUUAAUAAAUCAUAUUUCAAUUAGAAAAUGAAGCAAAUUAUACCCAUGGUAGCUAUCUUGCGCUCUAACUGUUCGAGAACAGGGGAAGCGAUUCUGAUCUGAGCUCUACGACUGACGGGCGAUCUCCAGUCAACACCGUGACUCCAAUGGAGAGCAGAUGAUCGAAGUGACGAUAAGAAGCUCCGCGAUCGAAAGCUCACGCUCGAAAGAGAAGAAAAACGAAUCGAAUCCUGCUUCGCUGAGGUUAGGUUCUAGAAGGGACAACAGAUGAAAAUGGCGCGAGGAGACGGCGUGCCAAAAUGAAAAUCGUGGAAAAAAAGAUGUGGCGAUAGAAAUCGCGACAUGUGUCCAAUCUAAUGUUAGACUUUAUAUACGUAGGAUAGGACAGGAUAGGAAACGUAAUCAAUAUAAACAAUAAUAAAUUUUGAAAAGGAAUAAAAAUAUCUGUUGACACAUAAAAAUUCAGUCCAAAUCGAAC
Molecule: long non-coding RNA, 1048 nt
Filed under: Olea europaea subsp. europaea
Lineage: Eukaryota; Viridiplantae; Streptophyta; Magnoliopsida; Lamiales; Oleaceae
Source: RNAcentral